Molecule: unclassified non-coding RNA, 1176 nt
Filed under: Hevea brasiliensis (rubber tree)
Lineage: Eukaryota; Viridiplantae; Streptophyta; Magnoliopsida; Malpighiales; Euphorbiaceae
Source: RNAcentral
UUCUUCUCUCAUAUUGUGCCAAAAAAUAGGGCGACCACCUUUGGAGCUUCCAAUCCUUUGAAUUACAGAAAGAAUACCAUCUAUAGUUGGAUUUGCAACUCCAUAAACAGGAAAUCCAGGAACUUCUCUGAAAUUAGGUGCACCCUCCACUCUCUCUGGUAAACUCGGGUUUUGACAACCAGGACAAUGGUCACUCUUUAGAACAGUUUGACUUCCUAGAACCUCCCCAUUUCUUAAAGCAGCAACAACGCCCAUCUCAUGAGGACGGCCAUCAGCAGAUUCAGCAAUUUUCAUCAGAGAUGGCUUCAAACUUGCAUAUCCAAGUGCACCCAUUGGAUCUCUCCUAAGCAACCUACGAAUUAUGCUAUACAGCUCAGGCCGUGCUCUCAUCCAGUCAGCAAAACUGCUAUGGCCAAAAGAACUAGAACGGAGGGCAUCUCUCUCUGAAUGAAUAUAUACAGCAAAGCAUAUCAGAAAGUAAUAUCUUUCCAAGUAUUCCACAAAAAAUGAAAGUGAAGCCUCUUCAUCUCAUCUGGUUGACGAAGAAUGCUAUUGCGAUAAUUGGCAAUUGCUUCACGCAAGUUCUGCAUGGAGGCACACUUAUCAAUGACUUUAUCCACUUGUCUUUUGCCUUCAACACCACCCUCUAAAACCCUGGUCAAGCUUCUUAUUACUGCAUAUUCUCCUCUACGAAUUGCCUCCUCUGAGUUUGGCAAAUUAUCAGCGACAGUAGAACCAGCGUCAAAAACUCUCCCUAUCGAAUUGGUUCUUGGAAUACCAGAAGCUCCAAUUCGGUUGAGGUAAACCAAAGUCGCAAUGACCAUCCCAGUUGUCGUUCUUCCACGUCCCAUUUGACAAUUAAAUAUGAUUUCUUUAUUCAAGUUUGCGCUAUAAAUUUUAUCAACUAAGAUAUCAAAAUCCUGUUCCUCCGGUGAUUUUUCAUCAGUUAUAGGAACACGUUCAUAGUCAAAAAGGUACCCCUCUAAUUGCAGUUCCUCAUUUGCCUCUAGUGGCGUCUUCACAGAAUCACAUGACACUGGUUCCCAUUGGUCCACCAUCUGACCAUCUGGUAGUUCAUCAGUGACAAGUAUUUUAUUUCCAUAUCUUGCAGCUUCCAUCAGGAUAUCUUCUUUUAAUCGAGCCUCCAUUUGCUCAACCCUAGACCUGUUGAUUCCC